UACGAAGGGUGCGAGCGUUGUUCGGAAUGAUUGGGCGUAAAGGGUUCGUAGGCGGGAGUGCAAGUCAAGUGUGAAAUUUCCGGGCUUAACUUGGAGAGUGCAUUUGAGACUGUGUUUCUUGAGAGUUGGAGAGGGUGGUGGAAUUGCUGGUGUAGGAGUGACAUCCGUAGAGAUCAGCGGGAACACCGGAGGCGAAGGCGACCACCUGGCCGACGACUGACGCUGAGGAACGAAAGCGUGGGGAGCAAACAGG
RNAcentral lists this ribosomal RNA (253 nucleotides) under uncultured bacterium. RNAcentral's name for it is "partial 16S ribosomal RNA". It matches the Rfam family "Bacterial small subunit ribosomal RNA", at positions 524 to 776 of the family's 1533-position model. The record is from RNAcentral.